CUUGGUGUAGCUCAAUCUGGUAGAGUACCGCGUUUGGGGCGCGGGAGUUGUUGGUUCAAAUCCAACCACCAAGACCA
This 77-nucleotide transfer RNA is filed under the name Thermoplasmatales archaeon. RNAcentral's name for it is "tRNA-Pro". It matches the Rfam family "tRNA". Rfam says of the family: Transfer RNA (tRNA) molecules are approximately 80 nucleotides in length. Their secondary structure includes four short double-helical elements and three loops (D, anti-codon, and T loops). Further hydrogen bonds mediate the characteristic L-shaped molecular structure. tRNAs have two regions of fundamental functional importance: the anti-codon, which is responsible for specific mRNA codon recognition, and the 3' end, to which the tRNAs corresponding amino acid is attached (by aminoacyl-tRNA synthetases). tRNAs cope with the degeneracy of the genetic code in two manners: having more than one tRNA (with a specific anti-codon) for a particular amino acid; and 'wobble' base-pairing, i.e. permitting non-standard base-pairing at the 3rd anti-codon position. The record is from RNAcentral. Lineage: Archaea; Methanobacteriati; Thermoplasmatota; Thermoplasmata; Thermoplasmatales.